This 564-nucleotide ribosomal RNA is filed under the name Streptomyces sp. 410B11. RNAcentral describes it as "bacterial SSU rRNA". It matches the Rfam family "Bacterial small subunit ribosomal RNA", at positions 93 to 671 of the family's 1533-position model. The record is from RNAcentral. Lineage: Bacteria; Bacillati; Actinomycetota; Actinomycetes; Kitasatosporales; Streptomycetaceae.
UAGNGGCGAACGGGUGAGUAACACGUGGGCAAUCUGCCCUUCACUCUGGGACAAGCCCUGGAAACGGGGUCUAAUACCGGAUAACACUGCGGAUCGCAUGGUCUGCGGUUAAAAGCUCCGGCGGUGAAGGAUGAGCCCGCGGCCUAUCAGCUUGUUGGUGAGGUAGUGGCUCACCAAGGCGACGACGGGUAGCCGGCCUGAGAGGGCGACCGGCCACACUGGGACUGAGACACGGCCCAGACUCCUACGGGAGGCAGCAGUGGGGAAUAUUGCACAAUGGGCGAAAGCCUGAUGCAGCGACGCCGCGUGAGGGAUGACGGCCUUCGGGUUGUAAACCUCUUUCAGCAGGGAAGAAGCGAAAGUGACGGUACCUGCAGAAGAAGCGCCGGCUAACUACGUGCCAGCAGCCGCGGUAAUACGUAGGGCGCAAGCGUUGUCCGGAAUUAUUGGGCGUAAAGAGCUCGUAGGCGGCUUGUCACGUCGAUUGUGAAAGCCCGAGGCUUAACCUCGGGUCUGCAGUCGAUACGGGCUAGCUAGAGUGUGGUAGGGGAGAUCGGAAUUCCU